GACGAACGCUUUCGGCGUGCUUAACACAUGCAAGUCGAACGGAAAGGCCCUGCUUUUGUGGGGUGCUCGAGUGGCGAACGGGUGAGUAACACGUGAGUAACCUGCCCUUGACUUUGGGAUAACUUCAGGAAACUGGGGCUAAUACCGGAUAGGAGCUCCUGCUGCAUGGUGGGGGUUGGAAAGUUUCGGCGGUUGGGGAUGGACUCGCGGCUUAUCAGCUUGUUGGUGGGGUAGUGGCUUACCAAGGCUUUGACGGGUAGCCGGCCUGAGAGGGUGACCGGCCACAUUGGGACUGAGAUACGGCCCAGACUCCUACGGGAGGCAGCAGUGGGGAAUAUUGCACAAUGGGCGGAAGCCUGAUGCAGCAACGCCGCGUGCGGGAUGACGGCCUUCGGGUUGUAAACCGCUUUCGCCUGUGACGAAGCGUGAGUGACGGUAAUGGGUAAAGAAGCACCGGCUAACUACGUGCCAGCAGCCGCGGUGAUACGUAGGGUGCGAGCGUUGUCCGGAUUUAUUGGGCGUAAAGGGCUCGUAAGGUGGUUGAUCGCGUCGGAAGUGUAAUCUUGGGGCUUAACCCUGAGCGUGCUUUCGAUACGGGUUGACUUGAGGAAGGUAGGGGAGAAUGGAAUUCCUGGUGGAGCGGUGGAAUGCGCAGAUAUCAGGAGGAACACCAGUGGCGAAGGCGGUUCUCUGGGCCUUUCCUGACGCUGAGGAGCGAAAGCGUGGGGAGCGAACAGGCUUAGAUACCCUGGUAGUCCACGCUGUAAACGGUGGGUACUAGGUGUGGGGUCCAUUCCACGGGUUCCGUGCCGUAGCUAACGCUUUAAGUACCCCGCCUGGGGAGUACGGCCGCAAGGCUAAAACUCAAAGGAAUUGACGGGGCCCCGCACAAGCGGCGGAGCAUGCGGAUUAAUUCGAUGCAACGCGUAGAACCUUACCUGGGUUUGACAUGGAUCGGGAGUGCUCAGAGAUGGGUGUGCCUCUUUUGGGGUCGGUUCACAGGUGGUGCAUGCCUGUCGUCAGCUCGUGUCGUGAGAUGUUGGGUUAAGUCCCGCAACGAGCGCAACCCUUGUUCACUGUUGCCAGCACGUUAUGGUGGGGACUCAGUGGAGACCGCCGGGGUCAACUCGGAGGAAGGUGGGGAUGACGUCAAGUCAUCAUGCCCCUUAUGUCCAGGGCUUCACGCAUGCUACAAUGGCUGGUACAGAGAGUGGCGAGCCUGUGAGGGUGAGCGAAUCUCGGAAAGCCGGUCUCAGUUCGGAUUGGGGUCUGCAACUCGACCUCAUGAAGUCGGAGUCGCUAGUAAUCGCAGAUCAGCAACGCUGCGGUGAAUACGUUCCCGGG
This 1344-nucleotide ribosomal RNA is filed under the name uncultured bacterium. RNAcentral describes it as "16S ribosomal RNA". It matches the Rfam family "Bacterial small subunit ribosomal RNA", at positions 28 to 1378 of the family's 1533-position model. The record is from RNAcentral.